This 594-nucleotide ribosomal RNA is filed under the name uncultured Bacteroidota bacterium. RNAcentral describes it as "bacterial SSU rRNA". It matches the Rfam family "Bacterial small subunit ribosomal RNA", at positions 122 to 715 of the family's 1533-position model. Lineage: Bacteria; Pseudomonadati; Bacteroidota. The record is from RNAcentral.
CAACCUGCCGACAACUCUGGGAUAGCCUUUCGAAAGAAAGAUUAAUACCGGAUGGUAUAAUUAUUCCGCAUGGGAUUAUUAUUAAAGAAUUUCGGUUGUCGAUGGGGAUGCGUUCCAUUAGGCAGUUGGCGGGGUAACGGCCCACCAAACCAACGAUGGAUAGGGGUUCUGAGAGGAAGGUCCCCCACAUUGGAACUGAGACACGGUCCAAACUCCUACGGGAGGCAGCAGUGAGGAAUAUUGGUCAAUGGACGAGAGUCUGAACCAGCCAAGUAGCGUGAAGGAUGACUGCCCUAUGGGUUGUAAACUUCUUUUAUACGGGAAUAAAGUGAGCCACGUGUGGCUUUUUGUAUGUACCGUAUGAAUAAGGAUCGGCUAACUCCGUGCCAGCAGCCGCGGUAAUACGGAGGAUCCGAGCGUUAUCCGGAUUUAUUGGGUUUAAAGGGUGCGUAGGUGGUUUAAUAAGUCAGCGGUGAAAGUUUGCAGCUUAACUGUAAAAAUGCCGUUGAAACUGUUAGACUUGAGUGUAAAUGAGGUAGGCGGAAUGCGUGGUGUAGCGGUGAAAUGCUUAGAUAUCACGAAGAACUCCGAUUG